CCUACGGGAGGCAGCAGUGGGGAAUAUUGCACAAUGGGGGAAACCCUGAUGCAGCGACGCCGCGUGAGUGAAGAAGUACUUCGUUAUGUAAAGUUCUAUCAGCAGGGAAGAAAAUGACGGUACCUGAGUAAGAAGCCACGGCUAACUACGUGCCAGCAGCCGCGGUAAUACGUAGGGGGCAAGCGUUAUCCGGAUUUACUGGGUGUAAAGGGAGCGUAGACGGCGUUGCAAGUCUGAAGUGAAAGGCGGGGGCCCAACCCCCGGACUGCUUUGGAAACUGUAUGGCUGGAGUGCAGGAGAGGUAAGUGGAAUUCCUAGUGUAGCGGUGAAAUGCGUAGAUAUUAGGAGGAACACCAGUGGCGAAGGCGGCUUACUGGACUGUAACUGACGUUGAGGCUCGAAAGCGUGGGGAGCAAACAGGAUUAGAUACCCUUGUAGUC
This 440-nucleotide ribosomal RNA is filed under the name uncultured bacterium. RNAcentral describes it as "partial 16S ribosomal RNA". It matches the Rfam family "Bacterial small subunit ribosomal RNA", at positions 338 to 795 of the family's 1533-position model. The record is from RNAcentral.